Numida meleagris (helmeted guineafowl) is the source of this 3919-nucleotide RNA transcript. It is a transcript of the gene named biotinidase, with no coding region annotated. The record is from RefSeq and is a predicted model, not a curated record. Lineage: Eukaryota; Metazoa; Chordata; Aves; Galliformes; Numididae. The transcript has 5 exons.
GCCAGAGCGGGCACCCAAUCAGAAGGCGAGACAUGGCUGCCGCCGUUUCCCGGCCGUGCCGGCAGGGGGCGGGUGCCUUGCGUCGCGUGCGCGGCUGUUAAACGGCGGCGCCAACGGCCCGGGGGGAGCUGUGGCGCAGAGCAGGGCGGAGGACAGAUUUAUGGCAUAUGACAUGAUGGAUCUGUGCUGGAAGCUGUCUGUCUGCUUUUUCUGCUAUCAAGUUGUCUCAGGAAGAGUUAAGGAGGAGGCACGUUACGUCGCUGCUGUGUACGAACAUGAGUCCAUCCUGAGUCCUAACCCAGCAGCCCUCAUUGAUCGACAGUCUGCACUGGAGCUCAUGGGCAGAAACCUGGACAUCUAUGAGCAGCAAGUAGUGGCUGCUGCAAGACAGGGGGCACAGAUCAUCGUUUUUCCUGAAGAUGGAAUCCAUGGCUUUAACUUCACAAGGAGAUCAGUUUAUCCUUACUUAGAUUUUGUUCCGCAUUCCGACUCUGUGAAGUGGAAUCCAUGCAGAGAGAAGUAUUUGUUCAAUGACACAGAGGUUCUUCAACGUCUGAGCUGCAUGGCACUGAAGAACAAAAUAUUCCUUGUGGCAAACUUAGGAACUAAGCAACCCUGUGAGCACGCUGACCCUCGCUGUCCAAGCGAUGGAAGAUACCAGUUCAAUACCAACGUGGUGUUCAGUGAUGCUGGUACGCUUGUAGCCACGUAUCGUAAACACAAUCUGUAUUUUGAAUAUGCUUUUGAUAGCCCUCCAGAGCCUGACUAUAAGCUCUUUGAUACCCCUUUUGCUGGCAAGUUUGGUAUGUUUACUUGCUUUGAUAUACUCUUCUUUGAGCCUGCAGUGAAUCUAAUCAGACAAUACAACGUAAAACAAAUUGUAUAUCCGACUGCCUGGAUGAACCAGCUCCCACUCCUGUCUGCUGUAGAGUUUCAACAAGCUUUUGCAACAGCUUUCAAUGUCAAUAUUUUAGCAGCUAAUAUCCACCACCCUACCUUGGGCAUGACAGGGAGUGGCAUAUACACUCCAGUCAAAUCAUUUAUCUACCACAACAUGGAAAGUUACGGUGGCAAGCUCAUAGUAGCAGAAAUUCCCGUGAUUAGCACAGAUUACAGAACCGAUUUGGAGCACAGUGAAAGAUUCAAAGAGAACGGAUAUCAUUCAUGCAAUACUUUUACAAGCAGCUCAGUGGAUGACCAAGUUUGCUUUAUGGAAGGACAAGAGGCCCCUGGCAAAGUAUCAGAGAAAGGAAGUGAACAGUUACCUCCCCUCUUCUAUGCAGAAAUGAUGUAUGACAAUUUUACUUUUGUUCCUGUAUGGGCGGAAAAAGGAGAACUUCAGGUUUGUGCCAAUACUCUUUGUUGCUACUUAAAUUAUAAGAGAGAUGUUUUAACUGAUGAAUUAUAUGCUUUAGGAGUUUUUGAUGGGCUCCAUACAGUGAAUGGCAUAUACUACGUCCAGGCCUGUGCAUUAGUAAAAUGUGGAGGUCUCAGCUUUAGCACUUGCGGACAGGAGGUUACAGAUGCCACUGCUCUGAUAGAUUUCCAGCUAUGGGGAAAUAUGAGUACUCCUUAUAUCUUUCCUUUACUGCUAACAUCUGGCGUUACCUUGGAAUUUGCUGAUCACAUGGGCUGGAAAAACAACCACUAUUUCCUAAGCAAAAAUAGAACUUCUAACGGCCUACUGACAGCUGCUCUGUAUGGACGAUGGUAUGAAAAGGACUAGCACAGAUAUGUAACUGAAUCAGAAAACUGCUCAGAUUUUCAGUGUAUAUCUUAACAUGAACUGUUGAACAUCUGUACUUCAGCAUCUUCAGGUGCUAAAUCUGUUGUCCUAGUUGCUGUGAGGAACUGUGGAGAUGUGCAAUUCUCAGUUUAGUUGGCUGAGGCAGUUCCAAGAUGCAUUCAAACUCAAAGAACUGUGGCAAUGAGUACAUUAUACUGCUCAAUAAUCUGCUUUGGACAAAUUCACUUUCAGGCUUCAUAAAGGAAAAUAGUCAUACCAUUUACUCAAAGUGUGAGAAGCCUUUAGCAAAGCUAAAGGUCACACGGGCAGAAGAAACAUACCAUAACCCAGACCAUCAUUUCCCUUCUAUGGAUAUAAACAGUUUUAAUAAAGCUUCCUAAAUGGUUUCUGUCUCUGAGGGCAAUCAAAGCAGGAAACACGGACCUUCUACCAUACAAGAAGUACAGCUUAAGCCAAGAACAGCUUUAAAUCAGUGGAUUGAUUUAAAUGCAGUCAGACUGUGGAAGAUGUUUGUACUGAGACAAAGAAACAAGCUGAGAAGGAGCAGGGCACCCUGUCUUUGAGACAGCUUGAUACUGCUGAUGGGGAGGAAUAUCAGAAAAGCCCCAUCUAGCUAGGAGUAACAGCACACAAGUCAGAGGUAUUAGAGGUUUCUUAUAAGGGAUCUGCUGCUGAGUUAUCCAAGUAAUUGUGGGGAUACUCUGAAUAUGUUGAAAGUAACUGCCAGAAAAUACAGCAAAGGAACAUCACAAACAGGACUUCAGAGUUCAGUUCUUGAGAAGCACGUGAAGAGGCUCAGAAUCUCAAACUGGAAAUGGAGUGGGACAAGCAGUUCAGAACAAAGAUCUUCAAAACACAAAGUUGGUGCAAGCUUGUGUACGUAGAUCUUUACAGGGAGAUGACUAGAUUGAAGUGACUGAGCAGCAAGAGCCUUCUGCAACCGCCAAGGAACUGAGGUGUCAGCCUUGUGAGGCAUGGCCUAGCCUUGCGCAGGCUGUGGCCUGUCUUACAGCAUUAAUUAGCACCCUAGCAUCACAGAAAUCCCAAGAGGAGCACCCCAGUACAUUGACCACUCUCUUUGGCUGCUUUGGACUUACCAGCUAAACUGAAAAGAACCAAACGAUAAUUCAGAACUUCAAGAGAACCUGAACAGCGACUCAAAGACACACACAGAUUCAGUGGCUAGAACGAACUAAUGCCCACCUCCACUUACGCAUAUUAACAAAAGCAACAAAACAUUACUAAUCACAAAUAAUCAGAGGUCGAAGUGAGAGUUUUUGCUGAGUCAGGUUUCUAGUGGUCACUAGUGACAGGAGUAUUUCAGAUGCUCAUUGUGCCCACCUUCCUCCUGCAGCUGGGACAACAGCACAGGGCAGAAGCCACAGCCAACCAUUAGUGGUACCCACAGCAGAUCAAGUUCUUAGCAGAAGGGAUUAGAAAAGUUGAAUUUGGUAAGAAGUUAAUAAAUUUUAAGAAAGAUCUUAAAGAUUUAAAUAAAACCACGGAGGGAGCUUGAAUAACAAAGUUUGGCAGGGGAGAGGAGAUACAUAAGAGGGUAGGAAAUGAAACCUUACAUUUUGCUUUAUAACUGUUACAGUGUCUGAGGCUGAGACAUCAGUAUCUUUCUGCGCUGUGAUGCCGUGAGAAGAAAACUUGCACGGCUGUCAUUGAAAAGGCUUGGAAGUGAGGGCUUGUUUUGUUCUGUUGUGAAUUCAGAUAGCUAAAUUUCUGAUUACUGCUUCUGCGAUUUUAAUGUAGAAGAGAAUGCAUGGUGUUUUUAAAUGUUUAAUGAUAUUAAUAAUGUUAAGACAGCUUGAAAGACUCUUCAGGUUCCAUAUUAUUCAACCAUGUUUACAGUUACAUGGUGAAACACUGCAAGACUCCUUUCCCAGCCUCAGCUUGAAAAUUGUAAGAAUGCAGUACGGAAGAUAGGGAGCUCAGUUUACGAUGAUAUGUAGCAAUUGUGGAAGCAUUGAUAAUUUAGAUACUGCUUCAUUUGAAGAGAAAUAUCAAUGAUAAGAGAGCGGGAUGUCAGGCUGGAAAGAGUUCCAUCAGGUGGGAGAUGAGGAGAAAGAAGGAAAACAAAAACAUGUUGCAGUUCGGGGAUGUUAGUCGAGGCUAACUUUGUUACUCAGGGAAAAAAAAACAGAACAUUUUGCUGAGCUUCAGCUG